RNAcentral lists this ribosomal RNA (1143 nucleotides) under Enterobacteriaceae bacterium 2. RNAcentral's name for it is "bacterial SSU rRNA". It matches the Rfam family "Bacterial small subunit ribosomal RNA", at positions 38 to 1152 of the family's 1533-position model. The record is from RNAcentral. Lineage: Bacteria; Pseudomonadati; Pseudomonadota; Gammaproteobacteria; Enterobacterales; Enterobacteriaceae.
CCCCGCCCGCCUAUACCAUGCAAGUCGACGGUAGCACAGAGGAGCUUGCUCCUUGGGUGACGAGUGGCGGACGGGUGAGUAAUGUCUGGGAAACUGCCCGAUGGAGGGGGAUAACUACUGGAAACGGUAGCUAAUACCGCAUAACGUCGCAAGACCAAAGAGGGGGACCUUCGGGCCUCUUGCCAUCGGAUGUGCCCAGAUGGGAUUAGCUAGUAGGUGGGGUAACGGCUCACCUAGGCGACGAUCCCUAGCUGGUCUGAGAGGAUGACCAGCCACACUGGAACUGAGACACGGUCCAGACUCCUACGGGAGGCAGCAGUGGGGAAUAUUGCACAAUGGGCGCAAGCCUGAUGCAGCCAUGCCGCGUGUAUGAAGAAGGCCUUCGGGUUGUAAAGUACUUUCAGCGAGGAGGAAGGCAUUAAGGUUAAUAACCUCAGCGAUUGACGUUACUCGCAGAAGAAGCACCGGCUAACUCCGUGCCAGCAGCCGCGGUAAUACGGAGGGUGCAAGCGUUAAUCGGAAUUACUGGGCGUAAAGCGCACGCAGGCGGUCUGUCAAGUCGGAUGUGAAAUCCCCGGGCUCAACCUGGGAACUGCAUCCGAAACUGGCAGGCUAGAGUCUUGUAGAGGGGGGUAGAAUUCCAGGUGUAGCGGUGAAAUGCGUAGAGAUCUGGAGGAAUACCGGUGGCGAAGGCGGCCCCCUGGACAAAGACUGACUCUCAGGUGCGAAAGCGUGUGGAGCAAACGGGAUUAGAUACCCUGGUAGUCUACGCCGUAAACGAUGUCGACUUGCAGGUUGUGCCCUGUGAGGCGUGCCUCCCUGGAGCUAACGCGUUAAGUCGACCGCCUGGGGAGUACGGCCGCAAGGUUAAAACUCAUAUGAAUUGACGGGGGCCGCACAAGCGGUGGAGCAUGUGGCUUAAUUCGAUGCAACGCGAAGAAGCUUUACCUACUUCUUGACAUCCAUAGAACUUAGCAGAGAUGGCUUUGGCUGUCUUCGGGAACUCUGAGAACAGGUGCCUGCAAUGGACUGAUCGUCAGCUCGUGCUUGUGAAAUGAUAGAGUUACGUUACACAGCCACGGAGUUGCAUUACCUUAUCCUCGUUGGCCAGCGAUCAGUCGUGAAACUUCAAAUGUAGAAAAC